Molecule: non-coding RNA, 25 nt
Filed under: Cricetulus griseus (Chinese hamster)
Lineage: Eukaryota; Metazoa; Chordata; Mammalia; Rodentia; Cricetidae
Source: RNAcentral
AUCAAUGAUUGAGGGAACUAAUUUG